UGUGUGUGCUGCAGGUUUCCAAAGCAGAGGGCACAGAAAAACUCCUCACCAGUUCAUUAAAAGGGCCCCACUUCUGGCAGAGGCAGGGAGCGCCGUACAAGCCACCAAACACAGCACCAUGAUGAUGUAAACAUGGUAGCCAACGUAAAAACUGCAGCUCCUCGUGGACAUGAAACAGCUUCAACUUUUGCUGCAACACAUCACGUUGGCCAAUCACAGACAUUCAGGUGCAUAUCCCUGGAUUACUGUGUGAACUGGAAGUGUUAGCAAGGACCAGUACCAGGUCCCAGUUUGAUGACCUGUUAGCCAGGACCAGUACCAGGUCCCAGUUUGAUGACCUGUUAGCUAGGAUCAGUACCAGGUCCCAGUUUGAUGACCUGUUAGCUAGGACCAGUACCAGGUCCCAGUUUGAGGACCUGUUAGCUAGGACCAGUACCAGGUCCCAGUUUGAUGACCUGUUAGCUAGGAUCAGUACCAUGUCCCAGUUUGAUGACCUGUUAGCCAGGAUCAGUACCAGGUCCCAGUUUGAUGACCUGUUAGCCAGGAUCAGUACCAGGUCCCAGUUUGAUGACCUGUUAGCCAGGAUCAGUACCAGGUCCCAGUGUGAUGACCUGUUAACCAGGACCAGUACCAGGUCCCAGUUUGAUGACCUGUUAGCUAGGACCAGUACCAGGUCCCAGUUUGAUGACCUGUUAUCCAAUCCUGCUUAGUCCUGAGUUUUUGUCUUCGACUGCUUUCUGAAAAUAGAAAAAAUAUUUGGAACGACAGUUUUUACCUCCUUGUUUGUGCAGGGCUGGAAACCCUUCAAGUUCUUUCCAGAAGAACAUUAAAUGUUUUUUUUUAGUUUUAUAAGGAUCACAAGAUCCACUAAAGCUUGAGAAAUAAUCAGCAGCCGAAAGCCUUUAUGUCUGUGUGUGUGUGUGUGUGUCUACUUUGAUUAAACUUUAAAGCAAAGACAUUUCACUUUCAGACGUCAUCUUCACACCAGUCAGGGCGGAAAGAGGUGAAACUGUCAUUAACAGCUUCACUGCAGUUAAACAGCCGAAGCUCUCUCACCUAAUCUCUGCUCAACAAGUUUAAAAAUACAAACCUCAUUUACAUAACUAACACACACACACACACACACACACACACACACACACACACACACACACACACACACACACACACACACACACACACACACACACACACACACACACACACACACACACACACACACACACACACACACACACACACA
Long non-coding RNA from Labrus mixtus (cuckoo wrasse), 1243 nucleotides. RefSeq lists it as uncharacterized. The transcript is spliced from 2 exons. The record is from RefSeq and is a predicted model, not a curated record. NCBI's taxonomy places the organism in Eukaryota, Metazoa, Chordata, Actinopteri, Labriformes, Labridae.